ACAACAUUCGGACCGUCGGUCUACCGAGCAAUAUCACCCGCUCGGUGGAAGAUCUUCCCUUUGUCUU
Molecule: microRNA precursor, 67 nt
Filed under: Bombyx mori (domestic silkworm)
Lineage: Eukaryota; Metazoa; Arthropoda; Insecta; Lepidoptera; Bombycidae
Description: mir-2774 microRNA precursor family
Rfam family: mir-2774 microRNA precursor family
Source: Rfam by way of RNAcentral